This 776-nucleotide ribosomal RNA is filed under the name uncultured Neocallimastigales. Its description in RNAcentral is "partial large subunit ribosomal RNA". It matches the Rfam family "Eukaryotic large subunit ribosomal RNA", at positions 22 to 643 of the family's 3401-position model. The record is from RNAcentral. Lineage: Eukaryota; Fungi; Neocallimastigomycota; Neocallimastigomycetes; Neocallimastigales.
GUACACGCUGUGACUAGCAUAUCAAUAAGCGGAGGAAAAGAAACUAACAAGGAUUCCCCUAGUAACGGCGAGUGAAGCGGGAAGAGCUCAAAUUUGAAAUCUUAAAGGGUUUCCCUUUACGAAUUGUAGUUUAAAGAAGGUGUUUUCUGUUGAGGUUUUGGUAAGAGUUCUUUGGAAUAGGACAUCAUAGAGGGUGAGAAGUCCCGUAUUUGACCUUUACUUUCAACUUUGUGAUACACUUUCAAAGAGUCGGAUUGUUUGGGAAUGCAGUCCAAAAUGGGUGGUAAAUUUCAUCUAAAGCUAAAUAUUGGCGAGAGACCGAUAGCGAACAAGUACCGUGAGGGAAAGAUGAAAAGAACUUUGAAAAGAGAGUUAAACAGUACGUGAAAUUGUCAAAAGGGAAGCGUUUGACACUAGUGUUGUUUUUCUGAAAAUCAAUUAAAGAACUGUUCAUGCUAAGUUGUUUAGACUUUAUCAGCUAUCUGUUUAGUUUUGAGCUUUUCUUUAAUGCACUUUUCAGUUAACAAGUCAACAUCAAUUUCUUUUGCUGUAAAAAAGCUUGAGGAAGGUGGCUUGAGAUUCGUCUUAAGUGUUUAUAGCCUCUUGCCUAUGCAGUCGGAGAGAUUGAGGUCUGCAGCGUAGAUCCUUCGGGGCUAAAUGCAUUUGUGCUAAGUUAUAGCAUUUUAUAGACAACUUGUUGACUAUGAUUUGUCUUGUAGCUUACUCGCUUAUGUUAUUUUACCUACGCUUAGGAUGUUGAUGAUGUAGCACAUCAU